GGGCCCAUCUUCCAGCACAGUGUUGGAUGGUCUACUUGUGAAGCUCCUAACACUGUCUGGUAAAGAUGGCCCC
Oryctolagus cuniculus (rabbit) is the source of this 73-nucleotide microRNA precursor. It matches the Rfam family "mir-8/mir-141/mir-200 microRNA precursor family". From Rfam's summary of the family: The bounds of the precursors are predicted based on conservation and base pairing and are not generally known. The record is from Rfam. NCBI's taxonomy places the organism in Eukaryota, Metazoa, Chordata, Mammalia, Lagomorpha, Leporidae.